GUGGAAGCGUUGACAGGGAGUUGCAGGUGAGAGAGGGAAAGAGAGAGAAGAAUUUUUCUUUGUAAACCGGGGGAGAGACACAAUUGUGACACCCGAACUUGAGACUUCCUCUUGCUGGCAUGCUACUCAGAGGCUUUGUGUGAGCUCACUUCUUACUCAAUCGCUGAGGAUCAUCUGAGGCAUAAUUUGGAGAAAGUUUCUGUCAAGUCCAGUUUGGAUUGAGCAGAAACAUUUUCAG
Molecule: long non-coding RNA, 238 nt
Filed under: Fukomys damarensis (Damara mole-rat)
Lineage: Eukaryota; Metazoa; Chordata; Mammalia; Rodentia; Bathyergidae
Description: lncRNA (ENSFDAG00000033133.1)
Source: RNAcentral